This 699-nucleotide ribosomal RNA is filed under the name uncultured bacterium. Its description in RNAcentral is "partial 16S ribosomal RNA". The record is from RNAcentral.
UACGGUUACCUUGUUACGACUUCACCCCAGUCGCUGACCUUACCGUGGCCUGCUGCCUCUAAAAGUUAGCACACAGUCUUCGGGUAAAACCAACUCCCAUGGUGUGACGGGCGGUGUGUACAAGGCCCGGGAACGUAUUCACCGUGGCAUGCUGAUCCACGAUUACUAGCGAUUCCAACUUCAUGCUCUCGAGUUGCAGGGAACAAUCCGAACUGAGACGGCUUUUAGAGAUUAGCUCCCCAUUGCUGAGUGGCUGCUCACUGUCACCGCCAUUGUAGCACGUGUGUAGCCCAGCCCGUAAGGGCCAUGAUGAUUUGACGUCAUCCCCACCUUCCUCCGGCUUAUCACCGGCAGUCCCUCUAGAGUGCCCAACUUAAUGCUGGCAACUAAAGGCGAGGGUUGCGCUCGUUGCGGGACUUAACCCAACAUCUCACGACACGAGCUGACGACAACCAUGCAGCACCUGUCACCGGUCCAGCCGAACUGAAGGAAACCAUCUCUGGUAACCGCGACCGGGAUGUCAAAAGCUGGUAAGGUUCUUCGCGUUGCCUCGAAUUAAACCACAUGCUCCACCGCUUGUGCGGGCCCCCGUCAAUUCCUUUGAGUUUUAGUCUUGCGACCGUAGUCCCCAGGCGGGGUGCUUAACGCGUUAGCUGCGUCACCAAACAGCAUGCUGCCUGACAACUAGCACCCAUCGUU